This 490-nucleotide ribosomal RNA is filed under the name uncultured bacterium. Its description in RNAcentral is "bacterial SSU rRNA". It matches the Rfam family "Bacterial small subunit ribosomal RNA", at positions 28 to 517 of the family's 1533-position model. The record is from RNAcentral.
GAUGAACGCUAGCGGCAGGCUUAACACAUGCAAGUCGAGGGGUAUCACGCUUUCGGGCGUGAGAGACCGGCGCACGGGUGCGUAACGCGUAUGCAAUCUACCUUUUGCAGAGGGAUAGCCCAGAGAAAUUUGGAUUAAUACCUCAUAGUAUAGAACAAUCGCAUGAUUGAACUAUUAAAGUCACAACGGCAAAAGAUGAGCAUGCGUCCCAUUAGUUAGUUGGUAAGGUAACGGCUUACCAAGACUACGAUGGGUAGGGGUCCUGAGAGGGAGAUCCCCCACACUGGUACUGAGACACGGACCAGACUCCUACGGGAGGCAGCAGUGAGGAAUAUUGGACAAUGGGCGCAAGCCUGAUCCAGCCAUGCCGCGUGCAGGAUGACGGUCCUAUGGAUUGUAAACUGCUUUUGUACGGGAAGAAACACUCCUUCGUGAAGGAGCUUGACGGUACCGUAAGAAUAAGGAUCGGCUAACUCCGUGCCAGCAGCCG